RNAcentral lists this ribosomal RNA (253 nucleotides) under uncultured bacterium. RNAcentral's name for it is "partial 16S ribosomal RNA". It matches the Rfam family "Bacterial small subunit ribosomal RNA", at positions 524 to 776 of the family's 1533-position model. The record is from RNAcentral.
UACGUAGGGGGCGAGCGUUGUCCGGAUUUAUUGGGCGUAAAGAGCGUGUAGGCGGCCAGGUAGGUCCGUUGUGAAAACUCGAGGCUCAACCUCGAGACGUCGAUGGAAACCAUCUGGCUAGAGUCCGGAAGAGGAGAGUGGAAUUCCUGGUGUAGCGGUGAAAUGCGCAGAUAUCAGGAAGAACACCAACGGCGAAGGCAGCUCGCUAGGACGGUACUGACGCUGAGACGCGAAAGCGUGGGGAGCGAACAGG